Molecule: ribosomal RNA, 497 nt
Filed under: uncultured bacterium
Lineage: Bacteria
Description: partial 16S ribosomal RNA
Rfam family: Bacterial small subunit ribosomal RNA
Source: RNAcentral
GAUGAACGCUGGCGGCGUGCCUAAUACAUGAAAGUCGAGCGAACGGACGAGAAGCUUGCUUCUCCGAUGUUAGCGGCGGACGGGUGAGUAACACGUGGAUAACCUACCUAUAAGACUGGGAUAACUUCGGGAAACCGGAGCUAAUACCGGAUAAUAUUUUGAACCGCAUGGUUCAAAAGUGAAAGACGGUCUUGCUGUCACUUAUAGAUGGAUCCGCGCUGCAUUAGCUAGUUGGUAAGGUAACGGCUUACCAAGGCAACGAUGCAUAGCCGACCUGAGAGGGUGAUCGGCCACACUGGAACUGAGACACGGUCCAGACUCCUACGGGAGGCAGCAGUAGGGAAUCUUCCGCAAUGGGCGAAAGCCUGACGGAGCAACGCCGCGUGAGUGAUGAAGGUCUUCGGAUCGUAAAACUCUGUUAUUAGGGAAGAACAUAUGUGUAAGUAACUGUGCACAUCUUGACGGUACCUAAUCAGAAAGCCACGGCUAACUACGUG